AGGUCAAGCUACAAAGGGCGCAUGGUGAAUGCCUUGGCAUCAGGAGCCGAUGAAGGACGCGAUAAGCUGCGAUAAGCUUCGGGUAGACGCACAUAGUCAGAGAUCCGAAGAUUUCCGAAUGAGGAAACUCACAUGGGAAACCCCAUGUAUCGUAAAGUGAAUACAUAGCUUUAUGAAGGUAAACCCAGGGAACUGAAACAUCUAAGUACCUGGAGGAAGAGAAAGAAAAAUCGAUUUUCUUAGUAGCGGCGAGCGAAAGGGAAAGAGCCCAAACCAAAGAUUUAUCUUUGGGGUUGCGGACAGAACAUUAACGAGAAAUUAUGGUUAACCGAACACAACUGGAAAGUUGGACCGUAGGGGGUAAUAGUCCUGUAGGUGAAAAUUAUAAUUAUCAAGUUCUGAUCCAGAGUACCACGAGACACGUGAAACCUUGUGGGAAGCAGGGAGGACCACCUCCCAAGGCUAAAUACUACCUGAUGACCGAUAGUGAAGCAGUACCGUGAGGGAAAGGUGAAAAGAACCCCGGGAGGGGAGUGAAAUAGAACCUGAAACCAUGUGCCUACAACCGAUCAAAGCACCUUAUGUGUGUGAUGAUGUGCUUUUUGUAGAACGAGCCAACGAGUUACGGUAUGUAGCAAGGUUAAGUACUUAAGGUACGGAGCCGAAGGGAAACCGAGUCUUAAUAGGGCGACUAGUUGCAUGCUGUAGACCCGAAACCGGGUGACCUAUCCAUGGCCAGGUUGAAGCGAGGGUAAAACCUCGUGGAGGACCGAACCACGUUGCUGUUGAAAAAGCAUGGGAUGAGCUGUGGAUAGCGGAGAAAUUCCAAUCGAACUCGGAUAUAGCUGGUUCUCCUCGAAAUAGCUUUAGGGCUAGCGUCGUGUAAUUGAGUAAUGG
This 897-nucleotide ribosomal RNA is filed under the name Clostridium botulinum. RNAcentral's name for it is "partial 23S ribosomal RNA". It matches the Rfam family "Bacterial large subunit ribosomal RNA", at positions 1 to 900 of the family's 2925-position model. The record is from RNAcentral. Lineage: Bacteria; Bacillati; Bacillota; Clostridia; Eubacteriales; Clostridiaceae.